CAACAUUUACAACACAAUUGAUGAUCAAUAUAUCAAUAUAAAUCAUAAGGAUUGCCAGCAACAAGUUAUAGUCAUACAGUCAUAAGUGGAAAGAGAUUGGUGAUGGGAACUAUGAAACGAUUAAUAGUAGUGCAGAUUUAAAUUAUAUUUAAAACAUGGUUCAAAACAGAUAUAGCCCAAUAGGAUCUCAUACAGGCAAUAUUAUUGUUUUAUAUGGUAGUAUAUUGGCUUUGUUAUAUUUUUAUUUUGAUGCACAGAAUGGGGCUUGUAUGGUCUUAGAAUUGAUUCUCCUUGGAAUAUUUAAAAACUGUGAAUAAAUGAAGUAGCUUGUAGUGUAUUAGAUUACACUUCUGUUAUGGAACAGCACUUUUCUUUUUUGUUUUUCUUGUGUUUUCUUGUGCAUAUCAUUCAUGGUGCACAAUUCUUAUUCAGAGUUUUAAGGCGAAUUGAUGACAAUUGCAAUAGACUGCUGGAAGAAAAAAAUAAGAUUAAUAAAUCAUUGUCAUCUAGCUCUUGAGUUCAGUAUCCAAAGAAGUGUAUAAUAGCAAUAAUCUUGAUUGCUUUCUGAUUGGCACCUUGAUUUCAUCAUAUUGUCUACUUGCUCUUCUGCUGGGAGUUCAGGACUGCCUCUUAUUAUAGCAAGACGCUAAAUGCUGGAAUGAAGAAAUCUUUAUCUUGCAGGGCUGUUGUUUUUUUCAGGUUUGACAACAAAAGUGAAAACUGAAAUGCUAAAUCCUGCUGUUCCCAGCAUACCCUACUUUAGAAGGCUGUUGAAAGGAUGAAAUCAUAGAAGGAAGCCAUUUAUGACAUUCUGAGCUUUGAGGAACAAUCCAGUACAAAUGAAAUGGGUCCAAGUCUGAAUCUUUCCCAGAACUAGUAACCUCCCUAUAUUAUCCCUCACGAGAUAAGUAUCCAUCAAGUUCAAAUAAUACCCGUUGGUAUCAUCAGAAGAAUGUCGUUUGAUAUUCCUUGCUAUUCGAUGAUUGCCCCUUGGAAAGGGGUUGUGAUUUGGAUUACUCGCGGGGCUCUCUCAGAAGGUGCCACUCAAAGUCUGCAAACCGAUCGCGUGAACGAGGUGAUGUUAUCCAAGGGCUGACAAUUGCUCGGCCACGCUUUCCUCACACGGCUAAAUUGCGCAGUCUCGUCUGCUACGGGAGCAUCAAGCAGACCGCCUGGUCCGUUCUUCGGCAUCCAGCAAACGCACCAAGGAGCGCCGGCAGAGGGCAACGCUGCUCCUUAACUGGGCGUGGAGGCUCAGACACGUUGUUUCCCACGCAGCGCAACAUCGCGACGCUCCCUUCCAUCUCGGGCUCAGCCUCCCUCGCGCUCGCUCAUCUGCCAGACUCCUGUCUUUGCCCGGCGGCAGUGCAGCGGAGGCCGAGCGGGGCGCCAGCAGCUCUCCAGCAAAGUGGAGCCUCGAGUUUCGGGAUGCCGCUAACGCUGCUGCCGCUGCUGUUGCUGCUUGUGCUGGAUGCCUCCCGGGCGGCGCGUCCUCACGACUGGCUGUACCGCCAGAGACGGAGCAGCCAGCGGGAGGAAGAGGGGGGCCUGCGGGAUCGUGCCGCGGGAGCCCCGGAGGCGGCUUCCUUGUUUAGCACCUCUUUCGUCCUAAAAGGUGACUCGGCUCACAACCAAGCGAUGGUGCAUUGGACGGGCGACAAUAGCAGCGUAAUUCUGAUCCUUACCAAAUAUUACCACACUGAUAUGGGCAAAGUGUUGGAGAGUUCUUUGUGGAGGUCAUCAGAUUUUGGAACAUUAUAUACUAAAUUAAACUUACAACCUGGAAUUGUUACCGUCAUCGAAAAUUUCUACAUCUGUCCUGCUAACAAGAAGAAGAUAAUUCUUGUAAGUUCUUCCCACAAUGACCUGGACCAGAAUCUUUUUAUUAGUACAGAUGAAGGUGCUACUUUUCAAAAGCAGCCCAUCAGUUUUUUUGUGGAAACACUGAUAUUUCAUCCAAAGCAGGAAGAUAAGGUGCUUGCUUACAGCAAGGAGGAACAGCUUUAUGCAUCUCUUGAUUUGGGAAUAAAAUGGACUCGCAUACAAGAUCACGUGUCAAAAGAUCAUAUUUAUUGGGCUGUUGAUGGAGUUGAUGAAGAUCCUGAUUUGGUUCAUAUGGAAGUCCAAGACCCAAAUGAAGAUUUUUACUACAUGACCUGUCAGUUUCAGAAUUGUUCUGAAAAAUCACUGAAAUCUCUCUUCAAUGGUAGGAUUGACAAGAAUUCCUUGACAGUACAGGAUGACUAUAUAUUCCUUCAGGUGUCUUCAGGAAACCAAACAAAAUACUAUGUUUCUUAUCAUCGGAAUGAAUUUAUACAGAUGAAAUUACCAAAGUAUGCUUUACCUAAGGAUUUACAGAUUAUCAGUACUGAUGAGAAUCAGGUGUUUAUAGCUAUCCAGGAAUGGUAUCAGAUUGACACAUAUAACCUCUACCAGUCUGACCCACAAGGCUCUUCCUAUUCCAUUGCAUUAGAAAAUGUCAGGAGUACCAAGCAACCUGAGGAGAAUGUUUUAAUAGAUAUUUUGGAGGUUAAAGGUGUCAAAGGAGUGUUUUUGGCUAAUCAGAAAAUAAAUGGAAAAGUUACUACUCUUAUAACAUUUAAUAAAGGCCGUAACUGGGAUUAUCUAAUGCCCCCAGCUACUGAUAUGAAUGGUAAACCAACUGACUGCAAACCACCUGAUUGCCAUCUUCAUCUUCAUCUGCGCUGGCCAGAUAAUCCAUAUGUGUCAGGGAUGGUUCAUACUAAGGAUACAGCACCAGGACUCAUAAUGGGGGCAGGAAAUCUGGGUGCCCAGCUUGUGGAAUACAAGGAAGAAAUGUAUAUAACAUCUGACUGUGGUAGAACAUGGAGACAGGUUUUUGAAGAGGAGCAUCAUAUCUUAUAUUUGGAUCAUGGUGGUGUGAUUGUGGCCAUCAAAGAUACAUCUAUUCCUCUGAAAAUACUCAAAUUCAGUGUAGAUGAAGGUCAAACUUGGAGCACCCAUAAUUUCACAAGUAUUUCUGUGUAUGUGGAUGGCCUGCUUAGUGAACCUGGGGAUGAGACGUUAGUCAUGACGGUGUUUGGACACAUCAGUUACCAGUCAGACUGGGAGCUAGUGAAGGUAGAUUUCCGUCCAUCUUUUUCCCGUGAAUGCACUGAUGAAGAUUAUGAAUCAUGGGACCUAACAAAUCUGCAGGGUGACCGUUGCAUAAUGGGCCAGCAGAGAACCUUUCGAAGGAGGAAGAAUUCAUCAUGGUGUAUUAAAGGAAAAAACUUUAUGUCAGCACUUUCUUCCAAAGUUUGUGAAUGUAGUUCUUCUGAUUUCUUAUGUGAUUAUGGAUUUGAACUUUCACUGUCAAAAUCAGAGCCCAGCAUGUGCUUUGCUGACUUUUGGUUUAACCCUAAAGCCCCUCCUGAAGACUGUAUCACAGGGCAGUCCUAUAAAAGUAGCACAGGAUACCGUAAAGUUAUAUCUAAUAUAUGUAAAGGGGGUGUGGAUUUACAGAAAAAUUCUUCUCAGCAUGUGUGUCCACUAACUGCUCCCAGAGGAUUGCAGAUCAGCAUUAAAGGAGAAAGCCUAGCCAUUAAGCCAGGAGAAUAUGUCACCUUUAUUGUCAAACAAAAUCAGGGUGAUACUUUAAACACCAAAUACCAAGUGAACUUUGGAGAUGGCAUUAAGGCAAAUUAUAUGAACCUGACACUGAUAGGUGAAACUUUUCAGCACCAUUAUGAAAAUCCUGGAGUUUAUCAUGUCUCUGUAGUGGCUAAGAAUGCUGCAGGUCAAGAUGAAGCAGUCAUAUUUAUUCAGGUUCAUCCUCCACUGCAGGCUUUACAUCUUGAAGUAGUUCCUGCUGUUGGCAGAAACCGGGAGGUGAAUUUGACAGCCAUCAUCCUGCCAAGGAACUCUAACUUUACACUUUUUUACUGGUGGAUUGGAAACAAUAUUCAGCCAGUUCUUUCACUGGAAAAUUUCUUGGUAACCAGUUUUACUGAAGCAGGCGAAGUCAGAGUUACAGUUCAAGCUUCUUGUGGAAAUUCUAUGCUUCAAGAUUCCAAGAUUAUCAAGGUUUUGGAUCAUUAUCAAGUUCUUCCAUUAAGGUUUUCUGAACAUCUAGAUUUAUACAACCCAAAUAUACCUGCUUGGCGGGAGGAUGUUGGUCAUGUGGUAACACAACGGAUUGCCCAGGAAACAUGCUUACCUGAAGAAAGUCUUAUGACAGUAAUAAAACCUGGGCUACCCACCACUGCUGACUUUUAUAUGCUUCUGUCUACAAACCAUCCUGAAGGAAAGAAAAAUGUAUUUAAUGAUAAGUGGUUAGCUGCUAUUAAACAAUCUCUGAAUGCCCAAAACAUCAGUUUCUUUAUGAGAGGAGGAAAAUGGGUCCUUGUGGCAUUAGGUAGUUCUGAUUCAGAUUCUCAGAGCAUCAGAGGAGGCAAUGGGUACUGGAUGAUCAUGGCUCUCUUUGUCAUUUCACUAGUGGUUAUAGGAGCCAUAAUCCUCUACAAAUUCAAAAGGAAAUUACCAGGGAGAAAUGUAUAUGCUCAGAUGCAAAAUGAAAAAGAACAAGAGAUGACCAGCCCUGUAAAUCAGAGAGACGAUACCCAAAAUACUCAGGGAGAAGAAUUCAUUGAUGACGAUCUUGAUUGUCAAACACUGGGAAAUGCAAGAGCGUCCACAAAAUCUUUUCCAGUCAGGUCAGAUCACUGAAAAUAUGUUUAAGAGCCAGGUGCUCCCUGAGAAAAAACAUACAGAAAAUGCUAACAAUUGUGAUGAUUACUGUACAGCAUGGUGCCAUUUGUGACUGUUAUUGGAGAUUUUUAGAAAAAUGUAUGUAGGCUGAAGUAAUUAACAGGGCUAAAAGAAUAUGCAAAACUGAAUUCAAAUUUUGUUUGUGUUAAAGGUUUUAAAUAUAUACAUUAAUUCAUUGAAGCAGGCAUGUUAAAAAAAUGAUCUGACAGCUUAAUUUAUAAAGGGAGGGGCACAUCCCUUAUUAUUGGAUGUACUGAUUGGAUUGGUAGACAGUAUAAUUCAGCAGCAUCUUUGGGAUGGUUCACCCUUCUGUUUUCAGUGAUAGAGCAAUUCUCCUUAUAUUCCCAACGCCUCUCAUGAAGUGGCCUAACGGCUUCAUAAAAGUUAACUGCUGUACGAUACUUCCAUGGACAUGGAUUGAUGCGGUGAUCCUGGUUCCUGAAAAUUAAAUUGAACAAUAUUGACAAAAGAUGCCUGAAACUACAUAAAAAUACCAACCUCUCACAGCAUUUGAGAGUGAAACCUUCUUUUUUGUUUUUAAGUUUAUUUGCCCAGUGCCUGAAAAGGUUGCUGAUGCGUGGCCAAUUAUGUCCUACCUUUUAGUAGUUUGGUGUGGGAUUAUUUUACCACAGAUGAUUUUGAAGCCGAGAGUAGAAUAGAAGCAAUGGAAGGAGAGGCAUAGAAUGAAAAACAAACCUAUCCUAUUGAUUUACAUUUUAUCUGUAGGGAGAUCACAAAAAGUGAAGAUGGCAGGCUCAAUGAUGUAAGUGAAGCUCCAACUCCUAUGCAUUGGAGUUGAUGCAACAGCUGUCGCCACCUUGAUUUUCUGGGUGCUCCACCCCUCUUGCUGCUUGUCUAACCUGGUUCACUGAUAGGAUACAGCUGGAUUGCUAGCUAAGAUUGGAAUGGGAAAAUUUGCUGUAGCCAACUCACUGCAAGACAACUCACUAUGGCCAACUCGACAUGGGGCAAUUUGAGGAUGGACAAUUUAACAAUUCUAUUUCAUUAUUUAAAAUAAUAAAAAUUAUUUUAAUUUUUGCAAUUCACAUUUCAUCCUGUCCUUCCUUUUGCAUUCUUUCUUUAAUUAUUCUAUUCCACAAUUUCUUUAAUUUUAGUGUAACUCUUGUCCCACAGCGAGUUGUCUUGCGGUGACAAGUGAAUUCCCACAGUGAAUUGGCUGCGACAAGUUGUUGGUGAAGAGUUAGCCAUGGCAAAUUUUCACAGACCCACUUAAGAUAUUCAGUUGGAUUCUGAUAAUUUUCUUGCUGAGAGGCAGGAAUGGGUAGAAGGGAGAGGAAAGAAGGCUAAUAGUGUGUUAAAAAAAUGUAAUACAGAUAGUUAAGAGAUUGUAAAAUGGCUUUUUGCAUUUCCAAAUUUUGGGUAUCACCAACUAGAGGUUGAGGAGAAAUGUAAUAUCAUCCCAGAAAUCCUAGAAUGAUAUUUCUGAAAAUAAUAUAGAAUAACUACAAUCUAAAAAUAUUCUAAUCAUAUGAAGAAGUUACAUUACAUAAAGUAGCCAUGGGAUAGCAGCAACUCAUUGCUGGAUCAGUGUCUUAUAUUUUGAUUUUUAAUAAUAGAUAUUUUUAACAAAAUACUGAAGAAAAUUGCUGAAGCCGGUAAGAAUAGAUACUGAAAAUGCUUGGGUCUGGAAUGUAUUGAAAAGAAUGGAAUAAUUUCCUAAUUGCCUUAGAUUCUCAAUUUCCUGUUUUGCUCAGGGUAAAAAUAAUUCUGAAGACUGAUUCAUUAUCUUUGUAUUGCCAGAUAAAUCACAUUUUUUUGAUAAAAGAGCCAUUCCAGAAUAUUUUUUCCCCUCUUCAUUUCUAUCAUCUCUUCAUACUGCUAACUGGAACCUACUACAAGUUUGAUGUGCAUUCUGUAGCCAAACCUAUUAAUAUGCUUUUGCACUGAUUCCUGUGAUAUGCUCUGAUUCAGCUUAGUCAAGCAUAAAUGGAACAGCGGUGAAAUGCACUUACCUUCGCUACCGGUUUGGGAAUGUGAGCAUGCUCAUUCACUCACGCGUGCCUCUUCUGCACAUGCACAGAGGGUCAAAAAUGGGACAUAAUGACGUCCUGGUGGGUGGGCGGAGCCUCCCACCGCCAGUGCUACCAGUUCACGUGAGCCAGAUAGAUCCAGCUGGAUUUCACCGCUGAAAUAGAACAGCCCUAAUGUUUCAUAGUGCUACUAUACCUGAUUGCAUGUCGGAUUAGAGCCAGGAAAACAUGGGUUCAAACUCUCACUCAUCACUAUAUAUGAUGAUUUGGACCAAUUACUCUUAGCCCAGCACAACCUCGCCUUUCCUUAUGCAGGGCACUUUAUAAACAUCUGGAUUGUAACUUCCAGAAGUGUCAGCAAAUGCCACACUGGUUGGAAAGUUCUGGAAAUUAGUCCACAGUUCAGAAGACGAUCAUGCUUGAGGAAGUUUGAUCUAAUGCAGAGGAUAUUGUGAGGGUAAAAUGCCCUGGUUGCAUGAAAAUGAAUUAUUCUCUACCUCUUCUUAAUAGAAUUUAAAUAUUUGUGAGAAGGUCAUUUAAAUUCGAAAGGCCCUUUUGUCAUCCUCGUUUCACUGAUGAGAUUGUUAAGUUAUUUUCUGCUCAUAAUAUAAUGAAGCAAAUGAGAUUUUCUGUUUUCAUAAUUUUGAAAAAAAAAUUAAAUGGCAUAUUCCUCAGCUCACCCAUCCAUUUCUGUUGUUUUUGUAUAUUUUAUGUUGCCUACUUUAUCGCCAUCCCCACCUUGGGACUCCUCCUCCACACCAUUACCUUGCAGUGACUCCUUCUGGGAGAGGUGGAAACUUGAACAGCUACAGAGUUCCCUUAUUGCUGAUGGCAGUCAGUGUCCAGUCCCAGGCAAUCUCUCAGGCAUGGUUCUGAGCAUUAGUUCCAGGGAAAUGCACAGUGACCUGAUUAGCUGAUACAACUCAACCUAUUUUCAAGAAUCUUCUACUGUGGGUUCCUUCUUUCCUCUCUGAAGAAUUCACUGCUAGUGGGAAGGAGACUGUCUCGAAGAUACAACAGCCACGUGUUACUUGGAAAACACGAUAAUACGCUUUGUGUUCAUGGCUGCUGACCUCAGACUAAGAUAGCAGAUCUGUAGCCCUAGGCAUGUUUGCAACCACUUUGUCUGUCUCUGGGUCCCUUGGCUUAUUUAUGUCCACGUAAUCAAACUCAUUUCAGACUUUGUUCACAAUGGUGACAUCAGGCUGCCAUUCUUAAGGCAUGAGGGUUAGUUUUAAAAUAGUCGAAACAGAAAUGGGUGAAUAUUUGGGAUUUUUUCCUAGUAAAUCAGCAACUUGGAUCUGAUAUGGCACAUUUCAGAAGGGAUGCAUUGAAGAGACAUGAUGAUCAGUCAUUGGCAUACUCUUCAGGUCCACUGGAGAUCUAGAUAACAUCUUCCUUCUGUUUCAGAAUAUAAAAACUGAUGCUGAUGUUGGGAAAUGAGUAGGGGCUUUUUGUAACAUAUCACCAAAAGAAGCUUUCAGCUUCAUUUUGCUCCCAAAUCAAGUUCUUCCUAGUCUUGACACCCCUAUUUUUCUGUCCACUAGACUGCCUGUUAGUUUGCAACCCACACUAUUAAGCAGCUUGGGCUGCCUUACCUUUUCUUCAGUUUCCAGAACAGCAAGUGUAAUUACUUUUUAAAAUUUCAGUAGUCUUUUUUUGUAUCUUUUUACACUUUCUAUUUUUAUAGCUAUAAAAGCAUUCUUAUCUCAGGAUAACGCUGUCAAAGCAGCCUAUUUCAAAUUUGCUAUUUUAUUCUUUUUCCCUUUUUCUACUUUGGGGCUGAACAAACAAAAAAUAUCACUGCCUUGGAUGUGUUUGACAAUCUGGUGAAUCAAAUUUGAUUAAUUCCAUUUAAAUAAUUGCACUUUUUCAAUUUCAUCCUAAAUAUCAUGCUUCACUUUUCAGACUGGAGCUAAGUGAAGUCUUAGGCAGGAAAUAAUUUCUGUUGUUAUUUAGAAGAACUGCAAGUUUAAUUGUCAAUAUGCUUGUUUCACCCCAGUAACUUUAUGGAGCAAAAGUGCAGUCAGAAUGGUGGUACUUGCUCAAAGAAGACACGUGUAGAAAACUAGCCACAAAGUAGUCUAGAAAUAAUACACACAUAAGUGCACAUUUAGAAAGUGUUUCCGAAUAUCAAUGAACGAUUCUUACAAAUCACUUGUGAUGCACUUUUUCUAUGUAUUACAUGACUGUGUCUCCAAUGAAUUCUUUCCACCGAAGGCACAUUCCAUUUUGUGUUGAUGUAUUUUGUUCUCAUGCAUGCACAAAAGCAACUACUGCAGUACUGUGUCAAGCACAAUGCAUUCAGGAACUGAUCAUUCCAGCAGUUAUAAUGCUGCUGGAAAUGAAUGGCAACAUUUAUUUGCCACCUGCUCAGGAUCGCUCUGUCUGUCUAUGCAGCAGAGCUCCUAGUGGCCUGCACAUUUUCUUAUAAAAGAGCAACAACUCCCCACUGCCUUACCUGUACAGAGAAUAAUUGCAGUUGAAAAAAUAUGGAAGUCUAAAUGUUUAAAAGCAAAACGGGAGGGGGGGGUUGGUUCCUCAUAAAAUAUUUUUGUUUGGUAUUAAGGGAUGAAAUUCUUCAUUUUACUAUUUAUGGUAUUGCUGGUAUUGAAAAUUUAAAAAAAAAACAAGUUUUUAUGAUGAAAAAUUACUGGUCCACAAUAAUUUGAAAGCAUGUUUAAAAAGCAACCCUAGCAAUGCAACAGGAUGGGCAGAUCGCAAAUCUAGACUCCAUGUUUUUACAAAUCUAUAAAUGAUCAGCAGUAAAAAGUAUACAUGUACUGCUCACAAGCGUGAACAUCCAAUUUUGUUAUUUUCCUAAAGUGAAAACCUUGUUUUUAGCUCUGCUCUUCCACAACUGGAGAUAGAGUUAAAUGAAGGGUGAUCUUUGUUUGAGGUGUUAUUUUUCUUUAUUGCUGUUCAACAAACUUAGAAUAUCCCAAAAUUCACACUUUCUGUUUCCUUGUUUGAGAUAAUGUCCGUUUUAAAGUGGGGCACUACAGUACAGUACUGUAUGUUAUUUGUGGUUACUGUAGAUAGAGCUAUAACUUCUUACAAGCUUUACUGGAGGGAGCAGCUUCAUCUACACAAAUUACUGUUUUCAUAUUGCUAACUCUGACUGAAACGGGUGUUAUUCAUGUCAAUAUCUUCUGGACCCUAUGCAUGUAUUUUACUCCUACCACCUGGGCUCAUUAAAAGGUCCCUGGUUUUAAUGUUUCUCUAGCAGUGUUCCUCCUCUCCUUCUCCCAAUAAAGAGAUUUUUGUUUCUGCAAAUAAAAAGAGCAGGUUGGGAACUAGCCACUGCAAAGAAAUUUCAGUCCAGAUCUAUUAAUACAACACUGCUUUGCUCUGUAAAAUGCAAUGGCAGUAUUUUUAAGGCAAUUUGCUUUCAUUUUUGUUUGAAAAGCUGCUGGUUUACAACUGUGGUUGAGCCAACAAACAAAUAUUGGUAAUUACAUCUCUACUCCUAAGAAUGAAUAGAAGCAAUACUAGUCAUAGGAAUUUUUAUAGAAUAAAAAGACUGGAUUCUUUAAUAUUUUCUAGCCUUAGAUGCAGGUAUCUCUUAUAUUGGCAGAUUAGUUCUUGAGAUAAAUGUUUGUUGCAUCAUUUGUAAGAAAUUCACUUUGUACAGCAUUUGUAUAAUUGAAAUAGACUGAUACAAAAGAAGCAGAUUUGGUUGCAAGAGUAGGAUAUUUUUGUGACACUGACAGUAGUGAGUCAAAAGUGGACUUGUCUUCAGAAGCAAUAAAUUUCAUCAAAUGCCAGCAUUUAAAAAUGUGGAGAAACAAUGACUGAAUGGAAAGAAACUUUAUUUUUCAUGCUGGCUGUUUUCUCAUGCAGUUCUUUCUCUGUCUAGCUAUUUAGGUAUAUGUUUUGUCCUGCCAAGAAUGCUUUCCAUUAAAGCUUUCCACGGAUAUUACAAACCAUAAGUUCUUUUUUGGGUCACAUUUCAGUAUAAAACAUCUAGUUUACCUUUUAUUAAGAGCCAAUAUAGAUCUACAAAUAACAAGUUGCUAUUUGAACAAUUUUUUUCCUUUGUUCCCAAGUCUGCAGAAGGAUUACAUCACUGAUGUCACAUAAUGAAAGUACACUCCAUCACACUGUACUAGAUGGACAGAUAGAUAGACAUUACAUUUCCAGAGAUAGUAUAUUUUUAUCCACACAUGCAACAGAAUGAGAAUAUAGACAAACAAGAUGAAAGUAAAUGGAAUGUCAGGGUGAGUUGGCUUUCACAUCUCACCCCAUUGAUCACCAGGGGUUGAUUUGGCUGAUCUGGCUGGCUAGGCAGAUGUCCCAUUCCUCCCUCACUGCUCCAUAUGUAUCCCUUCUGAGCCUACACACUUGUUAGAAGAGAAUGACCAUUCCAGAGAGAAGGAGUGAUGAUGAAAGCAAAUGCUAGGUCACAUGUUAAACUCCAAAUUUCCUUUGGUGAGGAGUGUUAAAAGACUCUUGGAGGAGAGAAUUUUAAAUGUGCCUCGUUGCAGGGGGGGGGGGCAGGUAAAUUAAGCUUAUGUCAGGGAAUUUAUUAGAUAGGAUCCAGAUUCCCAUAGGAGAUGUGCCUUCCUUGACUUUCUGUGGUUUUCAGCUGUUCAAUAGGACAGUGAAAUUUCUGACAGUGAAGCAUUGUCUUCCUUACCAGCCUCCCUAAACAAGUUAAAAGGAAGGCCAUCUAGGCCACAAAGAAACCUGGGGUCUCUUCUGGGUGCAUGGUGGACACUAUUUAUGGGCCGGAAGCUUUUGAAAUUUCAGAAGUGUUUCAGGAGGCUACCCUGAAACCCUGAGGCUAAAAAGUAGGCAAAAAUUACAUUGAUGAAGUUCAGCCUUUUGUUGUUGAAUUUUAAUGGUAGGGUCUUGAAGUGAUGUUAGGGGCUAAUGAUGCACACCUGCUGAAUAAAAUGAAGAGAAAGAUUAAUGCACUUUCACCUAUUUCUUUUUGGUUUGAUAGGAUCAAGUGUGGGCAUUGCAUCCUCUAACCAAUCAUCUUGUUCUUGGUGAUGCUGUGGCUUUGUGAAGGCCUUCUAGGGAGAAAAUUCCAUGUAAGAGUUUGCAGGUACAUAAAUAAUACACAGUCUGAUAAAUUCAGGGUUAGUUGUAAUUUAAAUAAAUGAAUAGGUCAUUUUGGAAAUGAGAUGGAUAGACUUAAAUGGAUAAAAAUUUUGAUGAAAAAUUGUGUUUUGAAUGGAAGGUAGGAAUUGAAUAUUAAGUGGUUAAAAACUAGGGAUAAAAGGAGAAAGAGCAGAUAAUUUAAGAAGACUGGUAAAUUGAAACAAGUCCCCAUGAAUGGGCUUUUAAGGGCCAUUGAUUAUAGUGGGAGAUGUAAGUGUAUACCGUACUUCAAUGGUAUGAGGAGACAUUAAUGCCGCUUAAAACUACUCCAGCCAGAUUAUAUUAAACGUCAGCCUGCGGUUACACAAUCAGUAGGUGAAAUGGGUUAUGUGCAGCAAGACUGGACUGAAGACUCUAGUUCAUUAGUGCUGCAACUUUAAAAUUCUAGAAAAUAAGAGAAAAUUGAUAUAUAUAAUAUAAAAACACAUUUUUUCAUUUAUUGCUGUAAUUAAAAUAGUUGUAUUUUGCUAUAUGUAAACAAAGUGGAUUUACAUGAAGAAUAUUAUAAACAACAUAAAUAAUGUACACAGAUACAAUAAUAUAUAACUGAAACUAAUGUGUACAUAAAUUAUAUAUCUGAAGUGAAACCAAUGAGUCUAUAUAUUUUCGUAGAGGCAAAUAUAUAAACUACAUGAAUCAGAAUAAAUAAGGGAACAGAAAAGUUCUCCGUGUCGUAAGUAACCUAAAAUUCCUACUGCUUACAAUACAGACAAGUACUAUAAUAUUCUAUAUAAUUGAAACCCAAAUUGACAUAUAGUAUGUAUUUUUUGGUCUGGCAAAAUCUGAAUUAUAUCAUUGAAAUCCAGUCAGUCAUAUUUGAUAAGAUAAUUAUUUUGCAUUAAAAGACUUCACUGUUAGAUACCCUUCAGACCCAGUGUGUACAGUGUAAUUUCAACAUUACAAGAUGUUGCUUUUCAGAACUCUUCCUCACACUGAGCUCAAGGAUUAUUUACCAGUCCAUGAGCCACAGAAAACUAUAUUGGCAUGAAAAUGGCCAGCCUUUGAAAAGCCUCAAGCCCCAGUUUCCCAGCUCCAUCUAAAGAAACUGAGAUCCCAGCCUCAGCCUCAGAAAGGAAAAAGAAGCUAUAAAUUUUAGGGACUUGCAUUGCACCUGCCUUUAAUGCUAAUGUUUGUUGAAAGUUCACAGGUUAAAUAUUGUGUAUGUCACUAUGUUAUGAGAUACUUCAAAUAUGCCACAACUGUCAGGGCCCUGCAAGGGUGGGAAGUGCCAAAUAACACAAGAUGGCAGCCCCAACUUAACGAUCAAAGACCUUCCCCCAUUUGUUAGGUAAAGGUAAAGGUUCCCUUUGCACAUAUGUGCUAGUCGUUCCCAACUCUAGGGGGUGGUGCUCAUCUCUGUUUCAAAGAUGAAGAGCCACUGCUGUCCGAAGACGUCUCCAUGGUCAUGUGGCCGACAUGACUAAACACCAAAGGUGCACGGAAUGCUGUUACUUUCCCACCAAAAGUAGUCCCUAUUUUUCUACUUGCAUUUUUUUACAUGUUUUUGAACUGCUAGGUUGGCAGAAGCUGGGACAAGUAAUGGGAGCUCACCCAUUACGCAGCACUAGGGAUUCAAACUGCUGAACUGCCGACCUUUCAAUUAACAAGCUCAGCGUCUUAGCCAAAGUGGGACAGCUUCUAUCAUAGAACAUAGAAUAAAGGUUGGAAGAGGCCUUGUAGUCCAAACCCCUGCUCAAGCAGAUGCAGUUUCCUGAGUGGUUCCCCCUGCCCCCUUUUGAAGAUUGUAACACAUCAAUUCUUUUUUCAGUUUUCUGAUAGGUCCCCAAUGCUCCAGACUCUUUUUGUUCAGUGGUUUUGAGAUCACAUCUGCCAGCUCCUUUAGAACUCUGGGAUGUAAUCCAUCUGGUCCUGGCAAAAUGAAUUCAUCUAGAGUGGAUAAGUGUUUUCUUACCAUUUUCUUUCUUAUUUUAACUUGCAUUCCUAUUCUGUCACCUGCAGUAUUGCUUUUGAUAAGUUGGACUGUUUUUUUCCUUUUGUGCUUUCUUCCUGUUACCUGGCAUCUCCUUGCCAUUUCUCCCAUUAGUGGACCAAACAUUUUCUUGAUCUUUUUCUUGUGUUUUACAUGUUGAAACCAACUUUUAAAAUUAUUUUUGGCAUUUCUUGCAAGUCUUAAUUCAUUAUGAGUCUUAGCUUUCCUGACUUCAUCCUUGCAGAGUUAAGCUACUUGCUGAUAUUCUGUUUUAGUUAUGUGUCCCUCUUUCCAUUUCUUAUACUUGUCGUUUUUGUCUCCCAGUUUAUCAGGGAGUUUUUUCAUGCAACUAUGCUGGUUUCAUCUUGUUUUUGAUUUUCAAUAAUAUUAUAUUAAACUGAGCUUUUAUAAUCUCAUUUUUCAGAGUUUCCCAGGCAUCUUGUUUUCCCUUUUAAGAUUUCCAUCCAAGAAAGUCUUCCUAAGGUCUCUCUAAGUUUGUUGGCCAUGACUUUUUGGUAUCCACCCACACAGCUGCAGUUGCCCCUGCCUCUAUCCUGCUGUGGGGAAACAAUUUGACUUCAGUGGCAUUAAUAGAAUAAUCACCAUUAGUUAGGAGUUGCUUUUUUAUUUAUUUGGUGUACGAUUUUCAGGGACAUUUCCUUUUGCAAUACUUUCCAAUUGCAGAAGCCUAAGAGAAUAGCCGAGUGGAGGUUUAACAUUUCAGGGCAGCCAAGGCCUGUACAGUCUUGCCUCUUUCAUUAUUAAAAAUUUCCUUUGUUCUUUGGUACAGUUAUAACACCAAUAUCCAUUUGUCUCUGUUGUAGAUUCUGUCUGUUAACCAUCUAGAAACAAAUUUGUAAGAAAGUCCUUUCUUUUUCUCUGUUAAACCUUUCACACUUUUCCAAAAGUUUUGAAAAUUGAGCAAUCUAAUACAAUGGGUGUGGAUAAGUGGGGACUUAAGUAUCUUGUUGUGCAAUUUUAUCCCAUUAAUUUCUGUGUGUCUGAGGCACACCUAUUUUGCAGAAGAUUGUAUGUACUGUAUGUGCAUAUUUUGGGCAUUGGCAAUCCUUAGGAAUGAGAUGGGUGUAUUUUUAUGUUUUGUUUUGUUAAGAUUGAUUCCCACAAGCCUUGGAAAACUAUGCAGGAUAAACGAUCUUUCUGAGAUAGUGGUUUCCAAAAGAAAAAUAUACAAAAAUAUUGAAAUAGGAAUUACAAUACACCAUUCCAUUUUGCUGGUCUUCAUUGAUGCUCUGGAAGGGCUUUUCUAUGGGUUUUAUUUCUUGAACAAACUUUUCUAUGGGUUAUGUUUCUUGAAACAACUAUUCUUAUGGGUUAGUCUAGACUCCGUACAAGUUUUGACACUUGUAGGACCUGCCAAUAUUAAUGCUAUUGUUAGCCUAUUCUGCUUAAAAACCUUCCUUAUUUUGAAAAUUCAUGUUGGCAAUACAUAAAGACUUAAUUCUAUCUAUUCUCCCUAGACCACUUUUUGAUUCAAAGUUUUGAGGCCUAGAUUCUAUUGGUCUGCAGAAAUGGGAAUUUCUUAUUUUGGGAAUGCUUUUCUGUGAUAUUUGAGUGUGGGACUUGAAAAAUUUUCAAUUGAGCUUUAAAAUGAACAAGCUGAAAUAUAGACUCCAAACUCAAACUUUGGUUUCUUUUUUUAAUCUGAAAAUAAGGAUGCAGAGGAAAUGCACUCAAGGUGCUCCUUGUAACUUGUUCCAUUAGUGCAUUCUGUUCCAUAGAGGAUGUGGAGACAAGCAUGUAAAGCACAUUGUAGUAGACUAGUCUCAGACUUUUGAAAGAAGGCUGCCAUUUUCUUACUUGUUUUGUAUUUUAAGGUGCAUUCCUCCCUUCUGAGAUGGAAUUGAAGGAUGAAGGUAUGGCAACAGCCCUUGGAUUUCCUUUGCCUUUAUAAACAUUCCACUCUCCUAGGGCCUGGAAUUAAUCAAGAGCUAGAUAGGCAAGCGUUAACUGAAGGUAGAUAGGUUCCUAGAAGCCCUAUACUAUAGUUGAUUGAGGGGGUACUGCACGCAUGGGGCUUAAUUCUCUUUGAAAGAGCAGGCAAAUAGCUUAGGAGUUUUACUUCAUUCAGCUUUAUCACUUGAGCUUUUGUUGGCCUCCAAGUUCACCAGCUGCAAAUGUUGAUGAACAAAAGUCAUCCACCCACAUAGGUCCCUCCUUGGAUAAUCUCCCAGUGUGUUAUUGAAACACAGAUUGAGGUGCUGUCCACUUUUACUGAGCUGCAUUUCCCAAUAUACCCAAUGGUGAUGAAUGCUGAAAGUUGACCGUAACUUCUGGAAAGAAACAGAUGCCCCACCCUUAUUGUACUGUGUUGCAUGUGCUGCAAUUAGCCUUUAAGAAGAGCCAAGAGUUUCAGCUAGCAAAGGACUGUCAAGAAGUCCAGCCAGAUUGAAUCACAUUAGAUCAGUGAGGAGGGAGCUGUGCUGGAUGUUUCAUGACUCCAGGCCCAGUUCAAGGUCUGAUUUUAAACUGCCUUAAAAAUAACACAAAAGGCCAUUUUGGACCUAAAUGCCUAAAGGAAAACACAUCUUCCCUUACCAGGCAGUUUGUAUCCAAAAGCAAUUAAGGAGUGGCAAUGGUGGAUCUCACAUAAAAAGUACCUUUAGAGAUUUCUGCCAUUUCAUCUCUGAAAAUGUCUAUCCAAAGUUGUUGGGCUUUUUUGUCCAGGGUCAUUCAGCAUAGUUUGAAUUUAGCUUUCCUACAGGCUGACAUUAGUUUGAUGUAUCCUAAGUUACACUAAAGUGAUCAUUUGCAAGAAAUAUUUUUAAUAUGCACAACCAUUGCUAUAUGGUAGGGAUCUCAAAUGUGAUGGUUAGGAUUGCAAUGCUGAAGCAUUUUCAGGCAUUGAUACCAAGUCCCCAGUGAGUCAUAAAUGAAGAAAAUGAAGAGUAUCAUAAAAAGCUAUUUAACAGAAAUGAAUUUAAUAAUGAUGACUUUACUGGAAGACUGAGCUGUGCAAACCACAGCUAACAAAAGCUGGUUUGUGAUUCAGCUGGCAUCAUUUUUUAUUAAUGAAAAUAUCAGUGUGAUAUUCAUUUCUAAAAUUAAAUACUCUAGAAAACCAUCUCACUAAGAGUUGGGGAAACCAUGUCUUUCUCCUACCUCCUUGCUGAGAAGUUCCCUUUGGUCUGUUUUUUCAUUUGCUUUCUUUUUCUUUCACUGCUCUGCCUUAACGGAGAACUCUUUCAGUUUUUUCCCACUCUUGUGGUGUCGUUGGUGCUGAGUUUGGUUGUUUCCUUGCAGACAUUUCAUUACCUAAACUAGGUAACAUCAUCAGUACACUGAUGUUACCUACUUUAGGUAAUAAAAUGUCCGCAAGAAAACCAAGCUCAGAGAGCGGCAAGGACCCUUCAUUUCAACCCUGAACUACAACUAUUCUGGUUCCACUCAUGCCUCAUAAAUAAAUCCUCACAGCAGACUAAGCAGUCCUGGCCUUCCAACUCUGCCAUUUCCUCCUUUUCUCGGGCAGCCCCAACCUGCCAGCUUGUCUGCCCAAGCAGAAUCUCUCCUCUGCUGCUCCUGCUUGUGGAGCUGGGCAUUGACUGAGACGAACAGUAUUCAAUGGCCCACAAGAGCAUAUGGGGAUUCCAGCAUGUAGUGCAGCUUAGCAUGUUGACUUAUACCACUCAGCUGACAAGGCAUUACUCUUCCCAGGAGAUACACUGGGUUAAGCUGAACUAAGUGGUGAGGCUAGGUCUUGCAGCCUAUUCCUCUUCCGCAGGUUUCCAUGAUCCAGCUUACCUAACUUUGUGGUAUUUAGAGCCUCCACAAUCUUGUUGCAGGUCGCAGAAAGUGACUUGGAUCAUAUAGCCCAAGAAUUGCAAGUUUGAGUUCUUUGUUACAUGGUCUUCCUGUUCACAUACUCUCUCCUGCCCUGUUUUGGACAACUUGCCUUUAUCUCAAGAAAGUUGCAUUAGACCUGUGCUGGGUUUAAACUUGCCCAGUCUUUUAUGACUGCCUCAAGAUCUGAAUGUUAUUGCAUCCAUCAAAUGCAAUCAAUGGCAUUAUCUUCUCAAAAAUUCUCUUUUCUGCUGGCAUGUCCUUUUGAUCUAGGGAGUGGUGCGGUGACCUAGAGGCGGAGCUCUCGCCUCACAAUCAGGAGGCUGCGAGUUCAAUCGUAGGUAGAGGCAGAUAUUUCUCUAUCUGGACACAAUUAGAAUAUAUCUGCUGAAUAAAACUCCGCAUUGGCAACAGGAAGGGCAUCCGGCCAUUAAACACUCUGCUAGCUCCAUUCAGUUGCCCAGACUCCACCCUGCAAUGGAUUAUGAGGUCGUUAAAAAAUGAUGAUGAUGUCCUUUUGCUCUAGGGCUGUGGUAUGUUUAGGCUCCACGUAGUCUUGUUCCUUUUGUAGUUCCCUUUUGCCUUCCGUUAAAUAAAUCAUGUUGAUUCUUCUUAAAUAAGUGUAGAUUUCUUUUCCCCUUAUUUUCUUAAAACUUAUUAGUUCAAAUAGUUGAGAAAUCCUAUUCUUUUAUUUUUUUUUUUUUAAGAGGGAGGAAUAUUUGUUAUUUGGCCUUGAAAUUUCCAUGUUUUUGAAAAUGCAGUGAUGUAAUCUGAUAUGCACCCUCAUUACCCACCACUUUAGCCAUCUUAAAGGGUUCAGUGGAAAUUUGUCACAUAGAAAAACCAGAUUGCAGUUUACCUAGUAUUUGUGUUUCUUAUGUUUAUAUGACGAUUGCUGAAAUGUGAAUGCUUAGAAAGCAAACCAUCUCUGAGCAUGACCAUCUUGGUGCCCUAGUGAAUAAAUACCACACAAUUCUAAGGUGAUACACAUCAUGUUUUAUUUCCCAUAGCAAACAGCUUCAGUAAAGGGAAUCUGUCUAAAAGUGUUAAUAGGCCCUAAAAUAUGCAAGUCUGGCUUAGAUACUAUUCAUUUAGGACAUGAAUUGGUAUGCCACCUGAUGAAUUUUCUGGAUUUGAUAGAACAUAAAAGGGAAACAAUCUCAAAACUCAUAAAUUAUGAAAAGAUUAUAGCUGGUAUAAUAGUAAAAGUCAUUUCUUUUUGCCUUUAUUUCACCUAGUUUUGUGAUAAUACAGUAUACACUUUCCUAUUACUAUUUUAGAUAAGAUUACCCAAAUCUUGUUUCUAUACAAGGGAAAACAAAAUAUUCAUAAUUGUCAAAAAGGUGUAAGGUGGAUAAGAUUUAGGAGUCUGUAUAUUUUUGUAUAUAUGUGACAGAUAAAAUGUCAAAUUGUGAUCACAUUGAAAAGCAGAAGCAAAUGUUGAAAUAUACAUCAUGUUAACACUUAACUACAAUUCAACUGCACAAUCUAGAUAGCUGAAUUAGGUCUUGCUACAGUUUUGAUUGCAACUUAUUUAUAAGCUGUGGAAUUCAGCUUAAGACUGUUCUGCUUUGAAAUAUGUAGCAGGUUAAUUAGUGUGUCCAAAGGAAUGCACUUGUUCCAAGAAACUGUAUUGCAUUUUCUUCAUUAAAAUGCUUUGAC
Molecule: RNA transcript, 19221 nt
Organism: Ahaetulla prasina
Lineage: Eukaryota; Metazoa; Chordata; Lepidosauria; Squamata; Colubridae
Gene: SORCS2
Gene name: sortilin related VPS10 domain containing receptor 2
Exons: 28
Source: RefSeq, a predicted model, not a curated record